This 418-nucleotide long non-coding RNA is filed under the name Androctonus crassicauda. The record is from RNAcentral. Lineage: Eukaryota; Metazoa; Arthropoda; Arachnida; Scorpiones; Buthidae.
CUCAAACGUCAUUAAAUAUUUGUAAGCAGAAUUUAACUAUUUAAAAAAAGAGAGAGAGAAAAAUAUUUCGCAAAACGAUUACGAUACACGAAUAUUUUGCAAUCAAACGUUUUUGUUAAGUAUCUUUCCUAGAAAAUGUACGUAUAUAUAUAUAUAGUUGUUUUUUGUGUGUGUAGCCAGCGUAAAGAACAAAUUUGGGGUUGGGAUAAAUUUUGGGUCUUUCAGGUUAUCCCGACCUUGAAUUGGCUUUCGGCAGUGAACACACAAAAGAAGAAAAAAAAAAAGGCAAUUCGCCAGAGCAUUUAUAGGAUUUAUGGAUGCUGGCGCUUGAUGGCAUGAAUAAAUCGAUAUGUGUAAUCUCACUUCUUCUCUUUGUUUUCUUCUUCUCUUCCUUGCAGGAGCAGGAUAGUGAAAAGCA